UACGUAGGUGGCAAGCGUUGUCCGGAUUUAUUGGGCGUAAAGGGAGCGCAGGUGGUGAUUUAAGUCUGAUGUGAAAGCCCACGGCUCAACCGUGGAAGGUCAUUGGAAACUGGAUCACUUGAGUGCAGAAGAGGAAAGUGGAAUUCCAUGUGUAGCGGUGAAAUGCGUAGAUAUAUGGAGGAACACCAGUGGCGAAGUCGACUUUCUGGUCUGUAACUGACACUGAGGCUCGAAAGCGUGGGGAGCAAACAGGAUUAGA
This 259-nucleotide ribosomal RNA is filed under the name uncultured prokaryote. RNAcentral describes it as "partial 16S ribosomal RNA". It matches the Rfam family "Bacterial small subunit ribosomal RNA", at positions 524 to 782 of the family's 1533-position model. The record is from RNAcentral.